CCUACGGAGGCUGCAGUGGGGAAUAUUGGACAAUGGGCGAAAGCCUGAUCCAGCCAUGCCGCGUGUGUGAAGAAGGCCUCCGGGUUGUAAAGCACUUUCAGUGGGGAAGAAAGCCUUGGGGCUAAUACCCUCGAGGAAGGACAUCACCCACAGAAGAAGCACCGGCUAACUCCGUGCCAGCAGCCGCGGUAAUACGGAGGGUGCGAGCGUUAAUCGGAAUUACUGGGCGUAAAGCGCGCGUAGGCGGUCUGAUAAGCCGGUUGUGAAAGCCCCGGGCUCAACCUGGGAACGGCAUCCGGAACUGUCAGGCUAGAGUGCAGGAGAGGAAGGUAGAAUUCCCGGUGUAGCGGUGAAAUGCGUAGAGAUCGGGAGGAAUACCAGUGGCGAAGGCGGCCUUCUGGACUGACACUGACGCUGAGGUGCGAAAGCGUGGGUAGCAAACAGGAUUAGAUACCCCAGUAGUC
Molecule: ribosomal RNA, 464 nt
Filed under: Vreelandella stevensii
Lineage: Bacteria; Pseudomonadati; Pseudomonadota; Gammaproteobacteria; Oceanospirillales; Halomonadaceae
Description: partial 16S ribosomal RNA
Rfam family: Bacterial small subunit ribosomal RNA
Source: RNAcentral